Non-coding RNA from Xyrichtys novacula (pearly razorfish), 8832 nucleotides. Lineage: Eukaryota; Metazoa; Chordata; Actinopteri; Labriformes; Labridae. The record is from the annotation of a GenBank genome assembly.
UGUUUAUGAAAAUAGCCGCGCAUGUGUAAACAUCGUCUUGUUCGACUCAAAGUAACCUCAUUUUUACUCUCUCUCUCUUACAGGUUUGAGCCUUCAGACGACCGCCCUCCUGAGUCUUCUGGAAAUGAUUGAUCCGACUACCGAAAGACUUUCGCAGGCUAUCGAAACCUCGUCGAGCUGUUAGGUAAGAGACGUUUUUAUUUCUGCAGAAAUAGAAGUUGCCAUAAAUGUCAGUGAGGAUGUGAGAUGCCAAAGAUGUGGACUUGGACAAAUCAGCUCAAACCUUCAUACUUCACACAUACCGCCUUUUAAAGGGACUCAAAAUCAUGUAAAGAUCUCAGAAAAGAGAUUUCAGAUUUGCCGUUUUCGACUCGUUUGUUGGCUAACCAACAGUUUGAAGAAGUUCUUCAUCUGCUCUCUUUUAGAUCUUCAUUCCUCCUGUCCUCACGUUUCUCAUCCGUCUUUUCUUAAGUCUGGGAUUUCAUACGUCUCUUUAUAUCUGUCAGUUUUGAUUUCAAAGAUAUCCUUUAUUAAAACACCAGCGCUCUGAACUUCAGCUCCAAGAUAGUUUUUUUUUUGCGUGUGAAUCGAGUCCAAACUUCCUCCUCUGAUUGGCCGUGCCGUCGGUUCGGCGAGCUCCGGCCGGCUGGUAGGAGAGCUCUGAUGUUUCCAACUUUCAUUCGCAGGCAGAGAAACCUCAGCAAACACGACGCUGAGCGCUCAGCGUGAUUGAUGACCUGUUCUUAUUGAUACAGCGCCUCACAUGUGGUUUGGCCAUUGUGAGCACAUGUGGUUAACCAAUAAAGAACAGAUCGAGGUUACAUGUAGAUUACAGGCUUCGGUUCCAGCUCGCUGUAUUGUCAUUGGCUGGAGGAGUAACCCCAGAGGACAGCUUUAUUUUGGAGCUUGUCAUUACUGGACCUCAGAGCUUUCUAAACGGGUUUAUGUCAUGCUUCAUGGUCCCGAUCGCAUGAACUAAGUGUGUUUUCUCAUGGAGCUCGGCAAGUGUGGACAGCCUUAAAUGAAGUGGUGGUACUUUAAUAGAAAAAUGUGGAGUAGUUUUACCCAAAUGUUUCUGUUCGUAAUGAUUGAAUCCCAGAGAAAGGAAAGUGCAGCUGCAGAUUCAUCAUAUGAACUAAACUGAAGUAAACGUUGGUAUCGUGUCGGUGACGGCGGUCCUGAAACGUCGGAAAUCCACCAGGUCAAAGGAAACACGUCUACAGAGACGUGCCAACAUGCAUGAGGAAGAAAAAGCCUCAAACACUGAAAUUAGCUUAAUAGAAAACCAGGAUCCGACUCCUGGAGAGUCCACGUUUCAGGUCGUCUUUGGUUGUGUACAGGAAACCAUGGCAACGGAUACGAGGGUAAUGUUUGAGUUGGAGCUGAUGCAUGACGUGCAGGAGUUGAUGAAACUGAUUUUACUGCGUAGAAGAGGAGAAGUGAUGCAGAAGAAGAAGGGGGCGGGGACAGCAGGUAACUGACCAAUCACAGUGGAGUUCAGGGAUACCGGAGAUAAAAGAAGCAGAAACACAAAAGCAGAAAAUCUGAAGAGUUGGUUUAAUCUGGAGUAAAUUUAAUCUGGAGAGUUUGUUUAAACUGGAAUAAGUGAAUUCUGGAGUUUGUUUAAUCUAAAAUUUGAUUAAUCUAGAGUUUGUUUAAUUUGGAGAGUUUGUUUAAUCUGGAGUUUCUUUAAUCUGGAGAGUUUGUUUAAUCUGGAAUAAAUUAAUCCUGGAGUUUCUUUUAUCCAGAGUUUGUUAAAUUUAGAGUUUGAUUAAUCCUGAUCGUGUUCAAUUUCAAGAGAUUGUUUAACCUGGUGAGUUAGUUAAAUAUAGAGAGUUUGUUAAAAGUGGAGUUUGUUUAAUCUAGAGUUUGAUUAAUCUAGAGUUUGUUUAAUCUGGAGUUUGUUUAAUCUUGAGAGUUUGUCAAAAUUUGAAAUUUGUUAAAUCUGGGGUUUGUUUAGCCUGGAGAGUUAGUUUGAUUUGGAGUUUGUUUAAUCUGAAUGGUUUCUCCUUCUUCUUCUUCUUCUUCUUCUUCUUCUUCUUCUUCUUCUUCUUCUUCUCCUCCUGCGUUCAGCCAACAGAUCGCUCUGAGCCAGGUGCUCGUUCUCCUCAGGAUAAAAAUGGGCGGCAACCAGAUCAGCUGUGUGUGUGUGUGUUUGUGUGUUAUUGUGUGUUUGUUUGUAUGUGUGUGUUUUAGUGUGUGUAAGUGUGUUUGUGUGUGUUUGUGUGUGUGUGUGUUUGUGUAUGCAUGUGUUUGAACCUGAUGCAUUACUGACAGGACCGGGCCCUGGUGCAGCAGUGAUCCAUUGUUUUCCUUGGCAGAGAUUAGCGGCCCCCAGGGGCCCGUGCCACAAAGAGAGCUCUGUUACCCACUAGAGUGCUUUAUUGUGCCCCAAAUUACCCCCGUGGAGAGGGGGAAAACAGCAUGGCAAAUAUCGAGCAUGCAUAAUGUCAAUGAGCGAAAUGACAGCUGAAACUCCGUUCUGCUCGUCUUCCUGCGCCGACCAUCGGCGGAGCGGCGGUGGGAAAAACAACUCGGAGCUGUGUACAAACUCUUCGCUCGUAAAUCUCAGAGAUGGAGUUCAAAUGUGUUUGCUCUAGAUCUUUAUCAGCGCUCGUCAAACACACUCACACUCACAGAGGGGACGUUUUUGAUUCUUGUGUGCGGCCCCUCUCUUGAGAAACCGCCAUGUUUCUUGUGGCGUGUCUCUCCCCCUCCCCUUUAAAACUCUUGUUCUUUUUCAUCUGAAACAUGGGUAGAACUUCACAUCCCCAAAUUCCUCUAAGACGGCUCAAACCUCUCCAGAAGACGAAUGGGGUCACGUCUACAAAGGGCAAUAAUCUUCUUUUCUCCGCGGCCUACAAACAAGCCUGUCAAUUGGCUUCAUUGUUAACAUCCUAGGGGACUGGUUUUUAAAAGUGUCAAGAUCAAAAGGCCUGACUGACAAAGCACACUUUUUUAUUAUUGCAGUGGCAGCCCAUAAGCUUUUAAUGUAGAAAAUUACAGUCAUUAAGUACAAGCUGAACAAGGCUUGGAUCUUGACAGGGGCUUUGAGGAGCGAACCACAAAUCAAAAAAACAAGCCCAUGGCGGAGAUAAAGAGGCUUGUAUGUAAAUAUGAGCUCUUUCUACUGGAGCAGAGCACACAGCCCGCCUCUGAGCGUUCCUGCAGCGCCGCACUGGUGGAGUUUCAGGACGCGGUGUCUUCGAAAAGAAAAGGGUAAUUAACCGGAGACUAUAAACAGAGAGAAUCAAAAGCAAGUGAGGCUUGAGAGCGAUCAUUUCAGAGAAGAUGAACGACUUCCAUCUUUAGUCCUGCUGCUAAUUUGAGCUUGUGCUUAAACCUCAGAGAGUUUUCUAAACUUAGGAAGCUUCAGACCUGCGUCAAGAGUCUGUAAACAAAAGACAAAGUGACUCAAGUCGUAUUAGAGUUUGGGGUUAAACUGUGUGAGGCCUAACUGAACCAUCAGGGUGGUGUUUUAAGUUUCAAGCAUGUUUCAAUGGGAGCCAACCGGCCAAAGGUGGAGAAUAUAAACUACAAACCUGUUAGCAUGAAAUUACCAAGACAACAGUUUGGGUGAAAGUCAACGCAGAGAGAUUUAUGACCAGAGGGCUGCAGGGAGUGACACCAAACGUGUCGUCGUCGUUUUCUGCUGCGUCAUCCGAGUCCGGGUCGCGGGGGCAGCAGCUUCAGGAGGGAAGCCCAGACGGCCCUCACCCCAGACACUUCCACUUCCGGUCCUGGGCCGGCCACGAGGUCUCCUCCCGGUGGGACAUGUAUGGAACACCUCUAACGGGAGGCGUCUGAACCAGAAGCCCGAGCCACCUCAGCUGACUCCUCUCGCCGUGGAGGAGCAGCGGUUCUCCUCUGAGCGCCUCCCGAGUGUCCGAGCUCCUUAAUACCCAAAGUUCAUGACCAUAGGUGAGGAUCGGCACGUAGAUCGAUCGGUAAAUCAAGAGUCUCACCUUACGGCUCAGCUCUUUCUUCACCACGACGAAACAUGUGGACAUGCUUUUAUUUUAACAAGCGGAAAACUGGACACUGAGGGCCUGAUUUACAAAAAGUUUGCGUGUACAAAAAGACAAGCAAACUUGAUAGUGCACGCAAAACUGACCUACUACGGGUGCAUCGAGGAUUGCGUCUGUCAAAUGAGCAAAACAACACGCGCAAUGGAUUGAAUGUUUUUGCUUUUAUGAAUUUGCAGAAUGUUUGUAGAUCAUCAGACCGCGCACAAUUCUGGGAGGAGCAGAUGCAAAUGGAGUCAUUAAGUGCCCAAAAUGUGAUCUAUCAAACCUGGAAACCAAUUGCGGUCGCUGUUUUGCGUCUAUGUUUAGCACGUUUGAAAGGCACGUGCAAACUGGCACAACGUUACACACAAAUGGCGUAACGUUGUAAAUAAUUAGGUCAAACACGGAACAGUCGCAAAAAUUCAUCUCUUUGUCUUAUUGAUUUUAAAUUGUUUGAAUCUCUUUAUUUUUUCAUAUUAAAUAUAUUUUCUUGCGUCUGUUAAUCACUCUGAAUCGCCUUGAGUAUGAACAGACAAACUUCCCUUUCCUUUUCUGCAGUUGGUGAAUUCUGACGCUCGCUGUGAAACUCUCAGUGCGUCUAUAAAUAUCACAAAAACAGUUGAAUGCGCUCUCUCCUCACCUUUUCAUUCGUCCGCUGAUGUUAAUGGUCGAUUACGCAAAAUGUGCAGCGGGGGGAGAGGGGUGGGGAGAGGGGGAGUCCGCUCUUACCCAGCUAAAUUGCAGUGCAGUGUUGGUAGUUGCCCUUUGAGUGGCCACCGCGGUGAAAGGCUGGUGGGCCGGGGUGACUCGGCCCUCUCCUCAUUGUUCCCAGAGCUUGGUAUUCCUCUCAUAGCGUGGCCCGGCCUCUAGAGGAUAUGCUUUUAAAGAUCCCAUGCCCUCGCUGUGGCCCCACUCACCUCCCUGACUCACAAUUUUUUUUUUUUCUACAGACACAACCCUUGAACUUCAGCUCACCUCAGGAUAGAGGGAGGGAUGAUCCGGAGCGAAAAAUGAAGACGAGAUCGACCUCCAGAUCAGAAUUAUCCCUGUUUUUAUCAGGCCUCUAUCUGCCUCUCCCCCAUCUAUCCCUCUCUCUUUUUCAUCCCUCCUUUUCCAGGCCUCUCUCUCUCUCUCUCUCUCCCUCACUCUCUCUCUCUCGCUCUCUCUCUCUCUCCUUCCUUUUUGCUGAGUGUCCCGCUCAGCUGGCCAGCACCUUUUCAAUCUUUGCCUGGGGAAUUGUCCCCUGCAUGUCAAGUGUAGCCAUUAGAAGGAAGGGUUUGGAUGAGAGGUGCUUUUCAGGUCCCCGUCCCCCUCACCUUUGAAUGGAGACAAUAGAGCUGUUCUGUAUGUCCAGAUGACCACACACACACACACACACACACACACACACACACACACACACACACACACACACACACUGCCAGCCUGUAGGGUCCCGUACUCUACACUCACAUUUCAGGGAACGGGGUAUUACAUAACAAGCUAAUGUUGUUGUCUCUGACUGUUUUAACGUCUUUAUAGUUUGAACAACAUCACCUGAGAGCGUUUAACCUCAUGACGGCGUGUUAGAGUUAGGGCGUGUAACCCCCAGUUUCCACCGCGUCCGGAACGGCAGUUAAACCGCCAUCAGCGCCAAUCGCCGCUGAUCGUAACUAUUCAAGUUAAUGUGUCAAACUUCACAGGCUUUUUCCAGCCCACCUGCGGUUCAUCGAGCUUCGUAGAUGAUCGCCAGAGUUCGCCAGAACUUUUUCCGGACAUCCGUAUCGUAUUUCACACCAUGCAAACAGGCGGAGACGAACAAGUGAAAGGUUUUUAGACGUCAUUUCACCCCGAUGACACCAUGGAUGAGGAGAUGCUGAUUCUAGAAGUCUAGAAGUAGAUUUCACCAUUAACCCCCAAUUUUCACUGCAUCCGGAACGGCAGCGAAUUUCGCUGUACGCCGAAUCCUACCAGAUCUGUUUAUGAGGCGAAUUCCUGGCAGAUAACAGACAGCAGGAAUUUGCACGGAUUUAUGUGCAAUCACGCAAUAACAAGUCGUCUCUUAUCCACAAAGGAUAACCAUGAAAGCAGUAGAUUGUGUCUGAGCAGAACGACGCACAGCCGUGGAAACAAAAAAAACGACAACGCGACUAAACAAUUGCGAUUCGUCUCAUUUCAGUCAAUGAAAAUAAAGAGACAUUUUAGCAGUUUUUAUUUUGUGAACCACAUUAAGUCUCAUUUUUAUUUGUCAACAAUUUUGUAUGAUAUAUUUAGUGAUAGUUAUCGUCACAAGACCACCAUUUAUGUUUCGUCUUGCCUCGUUUUUGUCACGUGAUAAAGGUUCGUUUACGAUGAUAUUUUGUCAUUGUUUUUGCAGGUCUGAGUCAGGGAUUUUAAACUGAUGAAUGCACGUGAACUUCCCUGCACCUUCAGUUUUCUUCUGUUUGCGUUCGGAGAUCCUCCCUCUGAGUUAUGACCUCUUGUCUUUUUCAGCUGCACUGUGUCCUCGUUUCUCUGGAUCACAGGAGUUUAAAAUCUCAGAUUGAAGAGGAAGAUCAUCUCUCUGAAGACUUCAAAAAGACUCGGUUGUUUUUGGUUUAACUUGAUACACUUGAAUCCCUGUAAAUAUCAGAGCUCGGCGUGUUAACUCUGAUUCUUUGAUAAAGCUCCUCCUGGUUUCUCAAAGAUGACAGUCGAUAAGUAAAGCCCCUGUGCUCAUGUUUCCUCUGACGUGCACAUAUUUUUUAGAUUAAACUACAAGCGGCAGCCAUUACCCGGAGUAACUCCACAAAAUUGGCUGUGAAAUCUUUAGGUUUCGGAUAAGAGCCGGCUAUUAUACGUUGUUUUUCUAUGUGCCAUAGUAAAGCAUUCUACAUCACAGCCAAUGAGACACGGCGGUGUGAAGGGACAGCGGGAUCCAGGCCCAGACAUCGUACUUGGCAAUCUUAAGCCCUGAAAACUAUGAGGAACUUAAAGCACACUCUCUUUAAGGACACAACACAAACUUGGCAUUCAGCACAUUCUCCUGCAGCUCCUUUAAAGCCACGGGUGUCAGGACACGUUACUCUCUCCGCUAACCUUUUACACGAUGUGGCAGCGUGCCUUUCUGAGGAGCGGACUCUGACAACCUUAUCUAAAAGGUCCCUUAAGUGGCCGGCUUUAGAAAAUGACUUGCAGGAAGUUUUAAAAACACACAUUAAAACAAGCUGGAGGGGGAUCAGAGAGUGGAAGGGGGUCAUUGUAAGCCGUACUACGGUGCUCCCAGGCCCACCACCACGGGUUUGUAUAAGCCCCUUACUGAUAAUGCGCCGUACAGUCUGGCCCCCAUUCUUGCCUCCUUGACUGACAAAGUCACUCAUAGCAGCGGAUUAGCAGGCUGCACAGGGGCCCUCCACUCUUAAAUGGCAGAGGUUGUCUGUAAUGUGCCCGUGAUGGACGUGCUGCAACAUGCAGCAGCUAGUUCCAGCCUCCACCUCUCCGUCCCAUUUAAGCCUUCAACCACCCCUCCUUCGCUCCCUCCCUCCUUCCCUCGGUCCAUUCCUCACCUCCUCCCCCCCUCCCCGGUUGUGUAGCAUGAAUCAGGUGGGAGGCCUCCGCUUGGCCUGCAGCAACAAGAAUGUAAAGAUAAUCUUCAGGUGGCUGGUACAACACCGGCUUAUUCCUGGAGCUGAUAGCUGACCUCUCCGUCUAAUGCGGUGAAGACGAGGAAAACACGGCUGCUGAGGAGAGACCUAAAGCUACUCCUCGAAAUCUCAACCUCGGAGUGACGGCACAAACAAGUGCUGCUCACAUGCACUCCGGCUCAACACGAACACGGAGCUGAACUCACAGAGAUGCAUUCAUGUGUUUGUGUGUUUGACAUCUCUGCUGCUUUCUAACCUGUAUCAAAAAAAAUCCCUUUCUCUGGAAAUGGAACAGGAACCCUGAGGCUGAUAACCUCGUGUUUGUCAUCCAUCCACCACAUUUUAUUAUGUUGCUUUAUGCACCAGAUAACAGACACUGAUUUUACUUCCUUUUGUAGUGUCUCUGUGUGUCCUUCUGUUAAACUAUUAUCUGAAAGACAUUUUUAGUGGCGUUAAAACGGGACAAAGGAGAUUAAAAAUACAAACAAAAAUAACUUGAUUUUCACUGAUAACUAUAGUUUUUAUUAGGUCCAUGUCGCAGGAAUCAAAGUUCGACUGCUAUCAUAGAUUUUCAGGAGGUUUUUGGUGCCCUGUCUUACCCAGGAUUUCCAUCGUGUUCGAAACUUGAAUGGUUACGAUCAGCUACGAUCGGAGGAUACGUCCUUCUCGUAGCCGUUCCGGAUGCAGUGGACAUUGGGGUUAAUUCUUUGAGCAGAUCAGAUGGUUAAUGUGAGGUUCUGUUUGCUUUUUGUUAUGUGAAUGUUUGCAUUCAUUACAGUUAGCUUCAACAGCUUUUUUUUAAUAAUGUGAGCUUUACCCUCCAUUUAGACGCAAAUUCGCCCCUGAAAACGAUGCUUUUUAUAAAACUCGGGUCAGAGAGGAGAUUUUGGAAAAAUCUGUUUGCAUUUAAAAAGAGAAAAACGGAGGUAAACAAAAAUUUGGGUAGCCGUCGGCAGUUUGUGUGCAGAAAAGUAGGAAUUGACGUUGUUGUUGCUUCUAUGCAGGAUUCUGAUUGGCUAACGUGGGUUUGAGUUUCUCGCUACACUGCCACCUACAGGUUUGACAUGCUUUUGACGGGGUAUACACGCGGGUUAGUGUAAAUUAAAACUUUUCUGAAAACGUAGCGGUGCGUGCGCAGGUGUAAACAUAGUCUUAUUUGACUCAAAGUAAACUCAUUUUUACUCACUCUCUCUCUUACAGGUUUGAACCCUCAGACGACCGCC